RNAcentral lists this ribosomal RNA (449 nucleotides) under uncultured bacterium. RNAcentral's name for it is "partial 16S ribosomal RNA". It matches the Rfam family "Bacterial small subunit ribosomal RNA", at positions 29 to 523 of the family's 1533-position model. The record is from RNAcentral.
AACGAACGCUGGCGGCAUGCCUAACAUAUGCAAGUCGAACGAGAUCUUCGGGUCUUGUGGCGCACGGGUGCGUAACGCGUGGGAAUCUGCCCUUUGGUUCGGAAUAACAGUUGGAAACGACUGCUAAUACCGGAUAAUGACGAAAGUCCAAAGAUUUAUCGCCAGAGGAUGAGCCCGCGUAGGAUUAGCUAGUUGGUGUGGUAAAGGCGCACCAAGGCGACGAUCCUUAGCUGGUCUGAGAGGAUGAUCAGCCACACUGGGACUGAGACACGGCCCAGACUCCUACGGGAGGCAGCAGUGGGGAAUAUUGGACAAUGGGCGAAAGCCUGAUCCAGCAAUGCCGCGUGAGUGAUGAAGGCCCUAGGGUUGUAAAGCUCUUUUACCCGGGAUGAUAAUGACAGUACCGGGAGAAUAAGCCCCGGCUAACUCCGUGCCAGCCGCCGCUGUAA